GCAGCGACGCAGCGUGCGGGAUGACGGCCUUCGGGUUGUAAACCGCUUUCAGCAGGGAAGAAGCGAAAGUGACGGUACCUGCAGAAGAAGUACCGGCUAACUACGUGCCAGCAGCCGCGGUAAUACGUAGGGUACGAGCGUUGUCCGGAAUUAUUGGGCGUAAAGAGCUCGUAGGUGGUUGGUCACGUCUGCUGUGGAAACGCAACGCUUAACGUUGCGCGUGCAGUGGGUACGGGCUGACUAGAGUGCAGUAGGGGAGUCUGGAAUUCCUGGUGUAGCGGUGAAAUGCGCAGAUAUCAGGAGGAACACCGGUGGCGAAGGCGGGACUCUGGGCUGUAACUGACACUGAGGAGCGAAAGCAUGGGGAGCGAACAGGAUUAGAUACCCUGGUAGUCCAUGCCGUAAACGUUGGGCACUAGGUGUGGGGGACAUUCCACGUUCUCCGCGCCGUAGCUAACGCAUUAAGUGCCCCGCCUGGGGAGUACGGUCGCAAGGCUAAAACUCAAAG
Molecule: ribosomal RNA, 508 nt
Filed under: Arthrobacter sp. DYW32
Lineage: Bacteria; Bacillati; Actinomycetota; Actinomycetes; Micrococcales; Micrococcaceae
Description: bacterial SSU rRNA
Rfam family: Bacterial small subunit ribosomal RNA
Source: RNAcentral